RNAcentral lists this non-coding RNA (184 nucleotides) under Klebsiella oxytoca. RNAcentral describes it as "6S RNA". It matches the Rfam family "6S / SsrS RNA". Rfam says of the family: E. coli 6S RNA was the first non coding RNA to be sequenced, but its function was unknown until recently. It consists of 184 nucleotides that fold into an extended hairpin structure with a large single-stranded internal bulge. The 6S RNA specifically associates with RNA polymerase holoenzyme containing the sigma70 specificity factor. The record is from RNAcentral. Lineage: Bacteria; Pseudomonadati; Pseudomonadota; Gammaproteobacteria; Enterobacterales; Enterobacteriaceae.
AUUUCUCUGAGAUGUUUGCAAGCGGGCCAGUCCCCUGAGCCGAUAUUUCAUACCACAAGAAUGUGGCGAUCCACGGUUGGUGAGCAUGCUCGGUCCGUCCGAGAAGCCUUAAAACUGUGACGACACAUUCACCUUGAACCAAGGGUUCAAGGGUUACAGCCUGCGGCGGCAUCUCGGAGAUUCC